UCNUCUGGCUUAACUGGGGGCUUGCGGUGGGUACGGGCCGGCUUGAGUGCGGUAGGGGAGACUGGAACUCCUGGUGUAGCGGUGGAAUGCGCAGAUAUCAGGAAGAACACCGGUGGCGAAGGCGGGUCUCUGGGCCGUUACUGACGCUGAGGAGCGAAAGCGUGGGGAGCGAACAGGAUUAGAUACCCUGGUAGUCCACGCCGUAAACGUUGGGCACUAGGUGUGGGGGGCCUUUUCCGGGUCUUCCGCGCCGUAGCUAACGCAUUAAGUGCCCCGCCUGGGGAGUACGGCCGCAAGGCUAAAACUCAAAGGAAUUGACGGGGGCCCGCACAAGCGGCGGAGCAUGCGGAUUAAUUCGAUGCAACGCGAAGAACCUUACCAAGGCUUGACAUGUGCCGGUCGGCUCCGGAGACGGGGUUUCCUCCUUGUGGGGCCGGUUCACAGGUGGUGCAUGGUUGUCGUCAGCUCGUGUCGUGAGAUGUUGGGUUAAGUCCCGCAACGAGCGCAACCCUUGUCCCGCGUUGCCAGUACGUUGUGGUGGGGACUCGCGGGAGACUGCCGGGGUCAACUCGGAGGAAGGUGGGGAUGACGUCAAAUCAUCAUGCCCCUUAUGUCUUGGGCUUCACGCAUGCUACAAUGGCCGGUACAGAGGGCUGCGAUACCGUGAGGUGGAGCGAAUCCCUUAAAGCCGGUCUCAGUUCGGAUCGGUGUCUGCAACUCGACACCGUGAAGUUGGAGUCGCUAGUAAUCGCAGAUCAGCAACGCUGCGGUGAAUACGUUCUCGGGCCUUGUACACACCGCCCGUCACGUCAUGAAAGUCGGCAACACCCGAAGCCCGUGGCCCUACGGGGAGCGG
Molecule: ribosomal RNA, 856 nt
Filed under: uncultured bacterium
Lineage: Bacteria
Description: bacterial SSU rRNA
Rfam family: Bacterial small subunit ribosomal RNA
Source: RNAcentral